CAAUAGCGUAUAUUAAAGUUGUUGCAGUUAAAAAGCUCGUAGUUGGAUUUCUGAUCGAGACAUCAGGUCGGGUCCGAGAGGAUCAUGUACUUUGAUUUUGUUUUGAUCAUCCUUGGGGCGAGCAUUUCUGGCAUUCAGUUGUCGGGAUUGGGAUCCUCAUCGUUUACUGUGAAAAAAUUAGAGUGUUCAAAGCAGGCCUCGGCCUCUGAAUACAUUAGCAUGGAAUAAUAAGAUAGGACUUUGGUGGUCUAUUUUGUUGGUUUGCACGCCAAAGUAAUGAUUAAUAGGGAUAGUUGGGGGUAUUCGUAUUCAAUUGUCAGAGGUGAAAUUCUUGGAUUUAUGGAAGACGAACUACUGCGAAAGCAUUUACCAAGGAUGUUUUCAUUAA
This 388-nucleotide ribosomal RNA is filed under the name uncultured eukaryote. Its description in RNAcentral is "partial 18S ribosomal RNA". It matches the Rfam family "Eukaryotic small subunit ribosomal RNA", at positions 592 to 976 of the family's 1831-position model. The record is from RNAcentral.